UACGGAGGGGGCUAGCGUUGUUCGGAAUUACUGGGCGUAAAGCGCGCGUAGGCGGACCUGCAAGUCGGGGGUGAAAGCCCGAGGCUCAACCUCGGAACUGCCUUCGAUACUGCGGGUCUCGAGUCCGGGAGAGGUGAGUGGAAUUCCUAGUGUAGAGGUGAAAUUCGUAGAUAUUAGGAGGAACACCGGUGGCGAAGGCGGCUUCCUGGACACUUACUGACGCUGAGACGCGAAAGCGUGGGGAGCAAACAGG
Molecule: ribosomal RNA, 253 nt
Filed under: uncultured bacterium
Lineage: Bacteria
Description: partial 16S ribosomal RNA
Rfam family: Bacterial small subunit ribosomal RNA
Source: RNAcentral